UCCUACUUCCAUAAGGUGGCUUCGGGCAGGAAAAAAGAAAUUCCAUUGCCUCAUUUUCGGAGGAUGGCGUCGAGUAUUCUUGUGAGAAAGAUAUUGCUGGUAAUUGCUCCAUGUCUUCUUCAGAGAUCUCUUUGGUUGCUCUUGCUUCCCUUCCAUUUCCAUUAAUUGGAGUGCCAUUUAUGCAGAUAGCGCAGUGGACCUUAGUUCCUCUUGCUAGACUUUCAUGAAGAGGAAAUUAGGGAUGCAGUAUUCUCUUUGGGUGGAUCUAUGGCUCCAGGACCAGACUUCUUCUCCUUCUCCUUCUUCCAAAUGUACUAGAUCUCGAUUCUCGAUCAAGGAUGAUCUGUUGGCUCUCUUGGAGGACUUUUGCAAGGGUCGAUCUAGACCUUAGCAGACUAAACUUUGCAUUUAUAUUCUCUUAUCAGCCUCUUUAAUAACUGAGAGAUUGCAACUUUGUUUCACUACAGCUCCUAUUCAACCUCUGCUUACUGUCAUUUGCAAAGUCUCGAGCUUUGGUUUAAUUGAAAUGCUUUCAUCUCGUUUUGUUGAAUUUGCAAUGGCACAGUAUGUUGUCUUUCAAGGAUUGUUCUUGUUUCUUCUUUUGGUGGAGUCUUACAACAAAGGAAGGAAGCAUUCUGAUAGAAAGCUAAAUGGAAUCAAAGACCAGUCUGAUAAGAAGCUGAACUUAACUCCUAAUUAUUAGCCAGGUGUGAUCUUCUCCUCAUCAUAUUGCUUGCUGUUUCAUUUACUUUUUUUCACUAGCUGUUACUUAUUCCCCUCCUGCCUUCACAUGGUACAUUCCAUCUCAUAUAUAUAUAUUUCUCUCACAUAUUGGUGGUUCAGCCUCCCCUGCCCUCUCUCUCUCUCNN
Molecule: long non-coding RNA, 869 nt
Filed under: Phoenix dactylifera (date palm)
Lineage: Eukaryota; Viridiplantae; Streptophyta; Magnoliopsida; Arecales; Arecaceae
Description: long non-coding RNA (PDAC_LNC002465)
Source: RNAcentral